AACGAACGCUGGCGGCAUGCCUAACACAUGCAAGUCGAACGCUUCCGGGGGUUUCGGCCUCCGGGGGAGUGGCGCACGGGUGAGUAGCGCGUGGGAACCUGCCCUGUUGCGGGGGAUAACCGAGGGAAACUUCGGCUAAUACCGCAUACGCCCGAGGAGUGAUCUUCGGGGAAAGAUUUAUCGCAGCAGGAGGGGCCCGCGUCGGAUUAGCUGGUUGGUGGGGUAACGGCCCACCAAGGCGAUGAUCCGUAGCNGGUCUGAGAGGAUGAUCAGCCACACUGGGACUGAGACACGGCCCAGACUCCUACGGGAGGCAGCAGUGGGGAAUCUUGCGCAAUGGGCGAAAGCCUGACGCAGCGACGCCGCGUGU
RNAcentral lists this ribosomal RNA (370 nucleotides) under uncultured bacterium. RNAcentral describes it as "bacterial SSU rRNA". It matches the Rfam family "Bacterial small subunit ribosomal RNA", at positions 28 to 404 of the family's 1533-position model. The record is from RNAcentral.